ACUUCAUUGCAUUUAAGUGCUUUAAAUAUAUCAAUAUGAAGAUGAGUAACACUCUCAGAGGCAGAUUUACCUCUACGAAAACCAAACUGAUUUGCUGGUAAAUGGUAGCUACCUAAGGGAUCAUUAUGUACUAUCCAAUGUGAAGCAAGAGAUAUGCAAGGGGAUGCAAUAGUAAGGUCAAGCGCAUUACUCUGCCAUCUGUGUGAUCCUACUGUAGUCGGUGUACCAUCAUUUAAGAGGACCAAGUUGUUACCAUCAA
Achroia grisella is the source of this 259-nucleotide long non-coding RNA. RefSeq lists it as uncharacterized. The record is from RefSeq and is a predicted model, not a curated record. The transcript is spliced from 2 exons. Lineage: Eukaryota; Metazoa; Arthropoda; Insecta; Lepidoptera; Pyralidae.